GCACAAAUAUAUUGUAAAUAAGAUUUUUUUGACAGAUUUUGAUCUUAAAAAUUGCUGCUGCUGCUGCUGCUGCUGCUGCUGCUGCUGCUGCUGCUGCUGCUGCUGCUGCUGCUGCUGCUGCUGCUGCUGCUGCUGCUGCUGCUGCUGCUGCUGCUGCUGCUGCUGC
This is a non-coding RNA of Paramuricea clavata, 166 nucleotides long. The record is from the annotation of a GenBank genome assembly. NCBI's taxonomy places the organism in Eukaryota, Metazoa, Cnidaria, Anthozoa, Malacalcyonacea, Plexauridae.